AGGGCCGGCUGGCUCUGGCUCGGAGCUGAGCAGUGUCCCCUUGCAGGGAGCUGGAGAGGACACUAUCUGCCCCCCACCCACGCCCCCGCCCUCCCAGCUCCAGGGGUGGCGCAAGGCCCCCCCACCCCCACAGCUGGCCCAGCCUCGGGGGUCCCCGGGGGGGGGGCCGUGGCCACCAGGAUGUUAUGCGCACAGCCUGUGGAUGACAGUGCGUGCUGAAAGCUCAGUGGGUGCCACGCUCUUCCACAAGCCUACAAACCACCACCGCAGCUGAGAUGGGCUCAGCUCCUGGACUUGCCACAGACAGUAAACAUAACAGACGCUCGCCCCGGAGAGUCUCUGGCUGAUCCACAGCGGCUCAGAGCACUGGGCAGAAGGCGGCCAGCCAGCCGGGGGCAGGAGAUGCAGAGCACUGUCAAUUACCUAUGGCACACCGACGACCUGCUGGGGCAGGGGGCCACCGCCAGUGUGUACAAGGCCCGAAACAAGAAAUCCGGGGAGCUGGUUGCCGUGAAGGUCUUCAACACCGCCAGCUACCUGCGACCCCGCGAGGUGCAGGUGAGGGAGUUUGAUGUCCUGCGAAAGCUGAACCACCAGAACAUCGUCAAGCUCUUUGCGGUGGAGGAGACGGUGGGUCCAGUGCUUGGUCAGAGGGAGGUGGUCUUGUCCUUGACCCACACAGGCUGGAAAGACUCAGGUCACAGAAUCAUGGAGACGUGGUCACAUGCUUGUCAGCAGGGGGGCAGCCGGCAGAAGGUGCUGGUGAUGGAGUACUGCUCCGGCGGGAGCCUGCUGAGCGUGCUCGAAAGCCCCGAGAACGCCUUCGGGCUGCCGGAGGAUGAGUUUCUGGUGGUGCUGCGCUGUGUGGUGGCCGGCAUGAACCACCUGCGGGAAAACAGCAUUGUCCACCGUGACAUCAAGCCUGGAAACAUCAUGCGCCUCAUGGGGGAGGAGGGGCAGAGCAUCUAUAAGCUGACGGACUUCGGGGCCGCCCGGGAGCUGGAUGACGAUGAGAAGUUUGUCUCUGUCUAUGGCACUGAGGAGUACCUGCACCCUGACAUGUAUGAACGGGCAGUGCUUCGCAAGCCCCAGCAGAAGACAUUUGGGGUGACCGUGGAUCUCUGGAGCAUUGGGGUAACCCUGUACCACGCAGCCACCGGCAGCCUGCCCUUCGUCCCCUUCGGUGGACCACGGCGCAACAAGGAGAUGAUGUACCGGAUCACCACGGAGAAGCCGGCCGGGGCCAUCGCAGGCACUCAGAGGCGGGAGAACGGGCCCCUGGAGUGGAGUUACACCCUCCCCAUCACCUGCCGGCUGUCCAUGGGGCUGCAGAGCCAGCUGGUGCCCAUCCUGGCCAACAUCCUGGAGGUGGAGCAGGCCAAGUGCUGGGGCUUCGACCAGUUCUUUGCGGAGACCAGCGACAUCCUGCAGCGAGUUGUUGUCCAUGUCUUCUCCCUGUCCCAGGCGGUCCUGCACCACGUCUACAUCCACGCCCACAACACGGUAGCCAUCUUUCUGGAAGCCGUGUACAAGCAGACCAGUGUGGCCCCCCAGCAUCAGGAGUACCUCUUUGAGGGUCACGUCUGUGUCCUUGAGCCCAGCCUCUCAGCGCAGCACAUCGCCCACACGACAGCAAGCAGCCCCCUGACCCUAUUCAGCAUGGCCAGCGAGACCCCCAAGGGGCUGGCCUUCAGGGACCCCGCUCAGGACAUCCCCAAGUUCUUCCCCAAAGUGGAUCUGCAGGCAGAUUACAGCACUGCCAAGAGCGUGUUGGGCGCUGGCUACCAGGCCCUGUGGCUGGCGCGGGCCCUGCUGGCCGGGCAGGAACUAAUGCUUCGGGGGCUGUACUGGUUUGUGGAGAUGCUCCAGGCCACAUGCAGGCGGACGCUGGAGGUCACGCGGAUGGCCCUGCUGUUCCUCAGCAGCAGCCUGGGCACCGAGAGGUUCAGCAGUGUGGCUGGGAUGCCUGAAAUGCAGGAACUGAAGAGAGUCACAGAGCUGAGGUCCAAGCUGCGGGCUUUGGCUGAGGCCCUCUCCAGAUAUGCCCACGAUAUCACAGAGACCCAGAUGAGCCUAAGCAACCUGAGCUCUGAGCUGAUGAAGAACCGGGAUCAGGUACAUGCGGACAGAAGCAUCCAGCAGAUUCAGUGCUGUUUGGACAAGAUGAACCUCAUCUACAAACAGUUCAAGAAAUCCAGAAUGAGGCCAGGCCUCGGCUACAACGAGGAGCAGAUUCACAAGCUGGAUAAGGUGAAUUUCGGUCAUUUAGCCAAAAGGCUCCUGCAGGUAUUCCAGGAGAAGUGCGUGCAGAAGUACCAGACGUCUCUAGUCACGCACGGCAAGUGGAUGAGGGAGGUGCACGAGACCAGGAUCCACUUGCGUAUGGUCAGCUGUUCUGUGGCUGCCUUUAACACAGAAGCCCAGGGAGCCCAGGAGAGCCUCAGCAAGAUCCUUGACCAGUUAUCUCACCAGCUCCUUCAGGACAGAACAAUGGGGGCUCAGGUCUCAGCACCCCCCACAGCUCCCCACCCCAGCCCUGCACUGACAGACCUGGUUCUGCACAUGCAGGAGCUCUGCGAGGAGGUGAAGCUGCUGGCCUUCGACCUUCAGGACAACAACCGCAUCAUUGAAGGGUUAAGUAGGCCCCCGUCGGCCCCUGACUCCUGAGGUCCGAGCUCCAUGGGGUGCACGACAUCCUGAAGCAUUAGAAUCAUUCAAAGCCCACUCUCCUGCCUGCAGUGCGGGACCUAACACAGGAUGAUGUCUGGUCCCAUCUCAUCAGCCUACCUCUCUCCCGGCCAACAGCUGGGAGAUGUCACCAGCAUUACCUUCCACUGCCUCUCUGCCGGAAGCAGCACAGUAGGACCUGGGGUGCCAGGCCAUCUCCAUCAGGCCCCACUGCCUGGGCUGAACUUUGUGUCUCUCUGACACAGGCUCAGAUCACCCCAGAAAUCUUUCCUGCCCGUCUUCACGAAACCUCCAUGUCCUCAGAGGCUACCCUGCCUAAUGACCCAGCAGGGCAGAAGUGAGGAGACCUGGGUCCUGCAUUCUGAUACCGUCCAUGCUGCUUCUCUAUGGAAAAGACCAGCACCCUCUAAAGACCCAGGGGAGGGGCACCGAGGGGCUGCUUGCCUCAGGCCUAAGUGGCUUCACGUAUGCCAUUCGGGGGGGUGGCGUCCAUGGGGUCAUCUAUACCCAAUGGGCUCAGAGUCUGGGGCCCCUGGAACCAGCUGCUGCCUCUCCACGGCCCUGGGCCCUGGGCACGCCUGGUCUGCUCUGCCUGCGUGAAGUUCAGGCUGACACUUCUGGCUCAUCAACGGCCUUGUAGGGAAGUCCCAGCAUGGAUUUUCCCUGGCAGCUGUGGCUGCCUCUGGAUCACAUAUGCUUGGUGGAGCUCAGCAGAAGAGCCAGGGGAUCCCUGAAAGCCAAGUGUGGAUUUUUGAGACAUGAUAUGAUCCAGGCUCUGUGAUCUCAUGAGCAGAGCCCAGCAGAGGACAUGCUCAAAGGCUCCAGUCUGUUCCUGUGCUGGGACGUGGACGCCUCCCCUGAUUUAAAAUCCUGCAGAACUUCUGAUUCUGUGCGAGGAACUGGACCAAGGCCCAGAUUCAGAAUGGUGUAAGAUCCUCAGGUGUCUGAAGACCUCUUAAACUCCCCUUUCUGUCCUCUGUAGUGAUUCCUAACACGACACUUAAAAUGAGCCCACUCGGUUCCUCAGGCAUGAACCGAACACCCCGUACUGUGCCAGGCCCGGUUAUGGGUACCAAAACCACACA
RNA transcript from Lynx canadensis (Canada lynx), 3773 nucleotides. It is a transcript of the gene named inhibitor of nuclear factor kappa B kinase subunit epsilon, with no coding region annotated. The record is from RefSeq and is a predicted model, not a curated record. Lineage: Eukaryota; Metazoa; Chordata; Mammalia; Carnivora; Felidae. The transcript has 23 exons.